RNAcentral lists this ribosomal RNA (377 nucleotides) under Clostridioides difficile. RNAcentral describes it as "bacterial LSU rRNA". It matches the Rfam family "Bacterial large subunit ribosomal RNA", at positions 2476 to 2855 of the family's 2925-position model. Lineage: Bacteria; Bacillati; Bacillota; Clostridia; Peptostreptococcales; Peptostreptococcaceae. The record is from RNAcentral.
AACAGGCUUAUCUCCCCCAAGAGUCCACAUCGACGGGGAGGUUUGGCACCUCGAUGUCGGCUCAUCACAUCCUGGGGCUGUAGUAGGUCCCAAGGGGUGGGGUGUAGGCCCAUUAACGUGGGACGCGAGCUGGGUUCAGAACGUCGUGGGACAGUUCGGUCCCUAUCCGUCGCAGGCGUAGGAAAUUUGAGAAGACCUGUCCUUAGUACGAGAGGACCGGGAUGGACGUACCUCUGGUGUACCAGUUGUCCUGCCAAGGGCAUGGCUGGGUAGCUAUGUACGGAAUGGAUAAGCGCUGAAAGCAUCUAAGCGCGAAGCCAACUUCAAGAUAAGAUUUCCCACCGCAAGGGUAAGACCCCAGAAAGACUAUCUGGUUG